Rosa chinensis is the source of this 902-nucleotide long non-coding RNA. RefSeq lists it as uncharacterized. The transcript has 4 exons. The record is from RefSeq and is a predicted model, not a curated record. Lineage: Eukaryota; Viridiplantae; Streptophyta; Magnoliopsida; Rosales; Rosaceae.
AUUCUCAAUUCUCUCUCUCUCUGUUACACUCUCUCCUUCCUCAUCUUCUUCCUCAUCUUCUUCUUUCAUCAAAAUCCUACUUUCAGUAGGUGACCGGUUUAGUUAAAAGCAAAUUAUUGCACUAGUCAUUUGUUAUAAUAACAACUUUUCAUAUAGAUUCAAAUAUAACCUCUUCAUUCAAUAAUAAUUAAGGUUACAAUUGUUUAGGUCAUCGUUAAUGACCUUCAUUAGCCAGUCUGCAGGCCCUGCAUUCUCUAGGUUGGAAACUGAUUUUUUUUUUUUUUUUUUGGGUACCACAAGCGUGUAUGAGCAAUUUGAUUUCCUCUACCAGCAGUCCUUCCUCAGCCCAGCAACAUUUUGCACAAUUAACAACUCUUGCUAUCCAAAAAAAAAAAAAAAACAACUCUUGGUACAUCCUUGUUAUCCACUUCAAUUUCCACUGGUAUAAUACUUGAUUCAAAGCAAAAACAAUACCCGAUUUCAACGCCAACGAUUCUGGUACCAAAGGAGCAAUUUGCAAGACAACGAAGACAUCUGCAGUGCUCUUUAGAGGACUUGACAACCCUUUCGCGAAGUCAUCUUUUUCUUCAUGGAGACAUUGUUUUUGCUUUGGGGACUUCAUAUAAAAAGUUAGACCUGGUUAGGAAGAUUGUGAAAAGCUGUAUAGUGGAAAAUGCAAAUCCUGCAGCUCUUGUCAUGAAGUAUAGGAAGGAUCGAUUAUACCGCAAGCUCGAUCAAAUAAACAGAAAAAUCUUUUGUAGGCUUAACCUGAAAAGUUAAACCUGAUCAGUGAGAUUUUUAGAAGAUUUGUUGUCAUGAAGCAUUGUUCUGAAUUCUGAUCAACCGGAACCAGAAAUUGAUUGACUAAACUGAAUUCUAGAAGCUGGUGUUUUUUGUAAUAU